Macaca mulatta (Rhesus monkey) is the source of this 4551-nucleotide long non-coding RNA. RefSeq lists it as uncharacterized. Lineage: Eukaryota; Metazoa; Chordata; Mammalia; Primates; Cercopithecidae. The record is from RefSeq and is a predicted model, not a curated record.
UGAGACUCCGUCUCAGAAAAAAAAAAAAAAAAAAAGAGUCCUUCAUCCGUCUUUAUAACCACUCCUUUAUGUAGACCAGCUCUUCUGCAGCCAUCACUCACAGAACCUAUAUUACCGCCUGACAAAACUCUCAGAAGAGGAAUAAGCACUGCAGUCAACCUGUACCCACACCCCAGCAACAGAAUAGGGCAGCAGAAAAAUAUGCUUAUGACCCAACUCUCAAACAGGCAUUAAGUAUGCCCAGCAAUCCAGUUACGUUUGACUAGUAAAUUUCCAUUCCUACUCUCCAAGAUGAGAAUGUAUAACUUUGUAUCCUCCAACAGCCCUACUCUCCUUCCUAAUUUGACUAUUUAAUCUCUAUUUUUUAAGGAAACAAAAGCAGUCAAAAGAAUGACUUCAUCAUCCGAACUCCAAAUCUACCAUCUUACCUGUAUCUUUACUCACAUUUGCAGUGCUUAUUCUCCUAUAAUGGAUGAGAUGUAACUUCAGCAACUUUUCACUAGUCUAUAUUUUAUCCCAUAUCACUUCUCAACAAUUUUACUUCUGUACUUAUUUACUUUCUCCCCUCAUCAUCAGUGUUUCUUUCUGCUGAACCGCUCCCUUCAGCAUAUACACAGACCAAAAAAGAACAAAACACGCUUCUUCAAUCCUGUAUCAUCUUCCAACUACUGCUUCAUUUCUCUGAUCCUUGUUCUAGCAAAAAGUCCACUAAAGAUUUGUUGCUGCUUGCUCAUGUCCCAGGUUCUCUUCAACCUAAUUUAAGCAGGCUUUUUCCUUCUUUCUUGUUGUCAAUAUAUAUCACCAAUAUGACCUCCACGUUUCUGAAACCAGGGUUUAUUAUUUACGUUCAACCUCUGGACAGCAUCCGAUAUGGCUGACUUCUCUUGAAAUACUGCAUUUGGUUUCUGGGACACCAUGUCCUACUGGGACUUUGAUGUAGCUACAGUUUGUUCUAAUGUUAUCACUAAGUAUGUUCAGGGUCUUCCUGUGCUUUUGGAAUUAAAGAUAUUACCUAAAAUGAAGAAGCAAGAGAUGUACCUGAUCAUACUUCACUUAGAAAGAUAGGAACUGAAAAGUCACAAAACACACAUUCAGAAGCUGUCCUUUACCCUCAAAAUUACUAGGAAGUCAGCUUUAAAAUCAAAACACAGAUGCUUUUUGACUUGAGCAUUCCACUUCCAGCAGUCUAUCCUACAGAAAUGCGACAAAUGGUCAGAAAACCCCUAUAAACACAUGUACUACUACAUUAUUUAAAGAGAAGAAAAUGUUGGAUAUAUCUGAGUGUCUAUAAAUAGGGGAAGAGUUAAAUAAAGGGAAAAAAGAAAAUAACAAUACCCAUGGUAUAAUCAUAAUUAUACUGAACAAACAAAAAAGGUGUGUGUUUAUGAAUGCAUAGCAAAUAGUCUGGAAGCACAUAAAAGGUAGAAAAGCUUCAGAGAUUACAUGGGUUACAGAGGGAAGAGAAAAGAAUGGUGACUUCCUUUUUGAUUUUUAAUAUUAUUUUCAGUGUGCAACACUAACUUACUUGUUUUCAGCAUAUAACACUUUUGAAUUUCUUAAUCACGAUUUUUAUCAUGCUAAAUAUACAUCAUGAAAAUACAUGAUAUAUAUUUAUUUCUUUGGAUUUUUCCCUACUUUAAAAAGGGGGAAAAAACUCAUUUCAACCAAGGUAUCAUGUUAUACAGUUACUCAAGCUUCCAGGGAAAAAUAUAUCUGCCACCGUAUGGGUCUAGAGUAUUGUUUUCUAGGUAAAGUAGGCAAACAGGAGUGAAAGUCAACGAGAUUUCAAUUUGAAGUUUCAAGAACUCUUUCAAUACGGCUGUAACUGCCAUUUCUUGAGAAUUCAGUGCCAACAUUUCCUCUGACCACAGAAAUGUUUCUGGACUACUUUAUUGUCCUUCCUCACCUUUCCUCUGGCUUUCCUGUGAUAUUUUUAUCAGAGCAUCUCAGACAGUUCUUUUCAGCUUGCAAAGCCAUGCACUUGUCCUGAAGCCAGGCCAGCUACUCUGAGCACAAGCCUGCCCGUCAGCCCACCCAGUCAGACUCUCCUCACUGCAGAACACUGAAGACAGAGUUAUGAAAGAAAAACUGUUUGAGCAUGCGCAAAGAGACCCCAGGAAGGCCCUACAAGGGCGGGAAAAAACCCAACUUAAAAUUAUAUUUCCUUGCAACAUAAAUGAAAAACAUAAAGAUAAUAUCCACAGAUAACUACUUUCACUAACUCAGAGAUGACCCUCAGAAAUCAUCUCAUGAGAUGAUUUUUUUUUUUUUUUUUGAGAGUUCCCAGGACCCUCUAUCCUACCUCAGCCAGAUCUGUAGUUUGAAACCAUGCAGAGAUAAAUACAUACCUGAUUUUUGGGAAACACUUUUGGAAAAUGAAGCAGUUCAUAAGCUGCUGUUCUGAUAAUGAAAGGAUCUAAUAUUCGGAUUUGAUAAGGUUUAUAAAUCAGGUUUAAGGCUGGUUUCUUCCAAAAACCAUUAGUGUUCUGAAAGUAAGAAUAUAGAGAAUAGAACAGUGUGGCUGUCUGUUUUUUAAGGAAAAAAAGCACUACAGGUAAUCUGAAGGCAGAACAAUUUUGCCUACUUACUAUUUUGUCACCCAUCAACAAUUCCAACAGCCACCUUAAAUCAUGUGGCUUAAAAGCAGUGAGAAUCACUGUCGUAUUAGGGUCAUUGUGAAUGGGAUCUGAAAAAACAGAUUCUGGAUAAAAAAGUCGGAAGGUUGUCCUUCUCCCAACUUCUUCUUCGUGUCCUAAAACAGGACCAUUAUUCAUUCUGUGGAUAGUAAAACAUACAAGAUAUGUAGACCAAGUGCAGUAUGUGCCAUUUCCAUCACAGUUCUCAGAGGUUUCAGAGUUGGACAAACAUCAGCCUUUAUCCUGCACUCUGAAGCCACAAAGCAACAGAUCAAUCUUUCACACAUAAUGGCCAAGAAGAUCAUUCCUUUUCAUUAAAUCAUUGGUUGAUCAAAGGCAGAAAUACUCAUUUGUAUUUGAAAAUUAAUUGUGGAGCCAAUGAUAAUUCAGUCUUCCCUCCAGGGGAACUGAAGACUAAAUUAAAAAAAUGGGAACACAGAGCCCCAGGAUACCAGAGUUGAAAGAGACCUUGGAGGACAAACCCCUGGAGAGAAAAUUACUUGCUCAAAGCCACACAGUCAUAUAGCACAUGGAUGUGUGUGACUAACAGGGAGCACAAACAUUGCUCUUAUCCACUGCUAUCUCUCCUGUGGCUAGAAGCAUGCUGGCAUACUAAGAAACUUAACAAAUAUUUGCUAAAUGAGUAGCCUGAAAUCUAGGCCUAACUCUAGCCAACAACCAAGAGAGAAGGUUGUGCAAUAAAAUACACUAACAAAUGGAAACAUCUCCCCUUCCUUUUAAAACACAGCUGUAUUAAGGGUAUGCUGUUGGACAGAUGGACAAGAGAGAUUGAGCCAUCUUUUACAAAACUGGUUCCAAGAAUCCACGCGUACUGUCAGAAACCCAGUGCCACAUUCCACUUGUUGCGCAAGUAGAAAAAGAACCAACCGCGACUUAGAAGUCUAGAGCUGUAUUAAAAAGAUACAAGAUUCAAUGAGUAACAUUCUACAGGAAGAGCAUAUCAUUGUACGCAACUAGUAUCAGCCCAUACACGUUCUCUCAUUUGAUUCUCAUAGCCACCUACUGAGAUAAGUAAGCCUGAUAUUCCCAUUAUACAAAUGAAGAAGGAGGUUCAGAAAUCUAUUAUGUAAUAUUUUAAAGUCAUACUCCAAAGUGGAACUAGCAUGUGGAUCCAGAACUUGAGACUGAAACACCAUGUGUGUUUUACAUUAUGUAGGUCUACAUUUUUUGCCAGCAUCACCCACUCCUCGAAUAUACUACCUCUGGCUCUCUGCUGCAUAAAUGUGGAUGGACAGUUUGGAAUCUGGUGAGAAAAGUGCAGUUUUGGGUACCCUGCCCAUGCUCACUUCAAUUUCCCCAACAUGGACUGGUCCUUGGAGCUUAACUAAUACAAACUAAAAGUUCAUGCAGGGUUCCUGGCAAAGAGCUUUAAAGUAGAACACAAAGGGGAACUCCAUGUUGCUGGUCCAUCUGUCUCCCAGCUCUUACCCCCACCCAGGCAGGCCUGGAGAAAUGACAAAAUAGACUGUGUCCUUGCCCUCUAGGAAUAAAACUACAGAAGGGAAAGUUGUUGAGGCUGUCCUUCCAGGGCCCUCAUGGCAUGGAAAGUCCAAAGAGAACACGGUUUCCCUAAGACCCAUGAAAUCGGCAGACCAGAUGAACUCAAGACCUUAAGGCUUUUAGGAAAUAAUGAGUAGCAAAACUGUACAAACGCUGUGCAACACGGAAACAUGGAGAAUGCAAGAAUUCAGACACUGUUUAAAAGAGCCAAGCAUUGGCUUUAUCAGGUAAACAGGAAAUGGUGUACACACUCCUAUAUUCAUUAAAUUUACCUUUUUUUGAGUAGUACAGUUUAUCUGAUUAUAAGGUUGAACACUGUAACAUUUAAAAAAUACUUUUAGCAUAUUUUAAUUGGAAGCUCUAGGCUCUCAAAUAUUAAAGAGUCAUGCGUAAA